GCACCUAUAGCUCAGUUUGGUAGAGUGCCGCUUGCACGCGGUGAAGUCGUGGGUUUGAAUCUUACGAGGUGCC
This 73-nucleotide transfer RNA is filed under the name Larimichthys crocea (large yellow croaker). It matches the Rfam family "tRNA". Rfam says of the family: Transfer RNA (tRNA) molecules are approximately 80 nucleotides in length. The record is from Rfam by way of RNAcentral. Lineage: Eukaryota; Metazoa; Chordata; Actinopteri; Sciaenidae.